This 253-nucleotide ribosomal RNA is filed under the name uncultured bacterium. RNAcentral describes it as "partial 16S ribosomal RNA". It matches the Rfam family "Bacterial small subunit ribosomal RNA", at positions 524 to 776 of the family's 1533-position model. The record is from RNAcentral.
UACGGGGGGGGCAAGCGUUGUUCGGAAUUACUGGGCGUAAAGGGCUCGUAGGUGGCCAACUAAGUCAGACGUGAAAUCCCUCGGCUUAACCGGGGAACUGCGUCUGAUACUGGAUGGCUUGAGUUCGGGAGAGGGAUGCGGAAUUCCAGGUGUAGCGGUGAAAUGCGUAGAUAUCUGGAGGAACACCGGUGGCGAAGGCGGCAUCCUGGCCCACAACUGACGCUGAGGCACGAAAGCGUGGGGAGCAAACAGG